GCCAGGAGUGGUAGUGCACACCUGUAAUCCCAGCGGCUCAGGAGGCUGAGACAGAAGGAUCACAAGUUCGAAGCCAGCCUCAGCAAUGGUGAGGCACUAAGCAACUCAGUGAGAAUCUGCCUCUA
This 125-nucleotide small RNA is filed under the name Marmota monax (woodchuck). Lineage: Eukaryota; Metazoa; Chordata; Mammalia; Rodentia; Sciuridae. The record is from RNAcentral.